GCGAGGAGCAAAUCUGAUUUUUUAAAUUUUUUUUUAAUUUUUUUUUUUUCCCAGUGUUCAAAACCCAUUUUCCUCCUCAAAUUAUUAUUACAGGGGGAGUGAGGAGCGGGCACCCUCGGCCCCAUCCCUGUGGACUGACGGCUGAGGGAGGGCAGCCACCUCCACGUGGCUCCUUCCCAGUCCGGGGUGGGGGGAUGCGGUGAUGGGGAGCAACUUCCCCCCCUGAGCCUGAUCCAGACCAGCCCCCGGGCAGUGUGAAUAACGGGCCGGUGGCAGCCGAAAGUGGGGCUGGGGGCUGGAGGAGCCUCCCCGGAGCCGGCAGCAGCGGCGGGCGAUGGGUCUGGGCUCCAUCAGCGGCGGCCGAUGGGGCGGGAUGCGGUAGCUGGACCACAAGGUGAAAAUUGACGUGAGCGCGGGGCGCUGGCAGCGCCUUGGGCUGAUGAAAGGAUGCUGUUAACAAGCCUUUAACGUUUCUCAUUAAUGGCCGGGUUGGGGCGUUGGGUUUUCUUCCUUGAAAAAAGCCAGAAGACAAAAAUUCCACCUGGGCAGUAAUCAAGAUCGAUCCCGUACAGUAGUACGUUUAGUUAUCAAUUUUUAAAACCCCUUUAAGUGCCUUAUUUAGUUAUUUUAAACAGGGCUUUUCAUUUGUUGCGGUGAGUAGUCCUUGGGCACGGCAGAGGGCUGCCAGGAGCGUGGGGGAUGACUUCUUAGCUCUUCUCCUUAACCAAUAUUCAUCCAACCUGCAGAAGAGCAGGCGCUGGUCCGUCUGGUCCAUCCAUCCCCUCCUCCCCGGCCAGGGAUGCUGCGAGGUGCCGGGGCCGUGGAUCCAGAUCCGUGCUGGCACCACCUGGGUAGGCUCCAUCCCCGUGGUGAACGUCCUCAUGGACACCCAUCGCUGGAGGUCCCAAGGUACCAUCAGCACGGCAGGACACCACUGGAGGUGGAGGCUUCUGAUGCCAACAAGCAAAACGUGACACAAAGUUCUGCUCCAGACAAGCAGUCAGAGUGGUUCCUGUCCAUGGCCACAUGGUGCAGAGCUGAACCCAUGACCCAUGGCUGGAGGAUGUUGUUUGAGGUGAGAAGGUGGUAG
RNAcentral lists this long non-coding RNA (1090 nucleotides) under Calidris pugnax (ruff). Its description in RNAcentral is "lncRNA (ENSCPUG00000000553.1)". Lineage: Eukaryota; Metazoa; Chordata; Aves; Charadriiformes; Scolopacidae. The record is from RNAcentral.